AUGGUGGUUCGUUCGGAAUCAUGUGAUUUUGGCGACAACUUCAGGUGGAGUUGGAGUCUGAUGGUCGUGGUUAGAGGAGUUGAGCGGCAGAGGUCUGGUAUCAGAAUCUGGUGGGAGCAAUGGUCCCAUCGUCGGAGUCGUAGGUGCAGUAGCAUCAGAAGCUUCAAUUUAAUUACGUACGGUGUUAGGCGAUGGCUUCCAUUUUUCUUUGGUAUCUUUGCAACUCCGGAUCCACGGUUCUUCUUCUUCUUUUCCUUGGAAUUAUCUUCUUUGAUAACUUGUUAUUGGUUUUGA
This 294-nucleotide long non-coding RNA is filed under the name Vicia faba (fava bean). The record is from RNAcentral. Lineage: Eukaryota; Viridiplantae; Streptophyta; Magnoliopsida; Fabales; Fabaceae.